RNAcentral lists this ribosomal RNA (253 nucleotides) under uncultured bacterium. RNAcentral's name for it is "partial 16S ribosomal RNA". It matches the Rfam family "Bacterial small subunit ribosomal RNA", at positions 524 to 776 of the family's 1533-position model. The record is from RNAcentral.
UACGAAGGGGGCUAGCGUUGUUCGGAAUCACUGGGCGUAAAGCGCACGCAGGCGGAUUGAUAAGUCGGGGGUGAAAUCCCGGGGCUCAACCUCGGAAUUGCCUUCGAUACUGUCUGUCUUGAGUCCGGGAGAGGUGAGUGGAACUCCGAGUGUAGAGGUGAAAUUCGUAGAUAUUCGGAAGAACACCAGUGGCGAAGGCGGCUCACUGGCCCGGUACUGACGCUGAGGUGCGAAAGCGUGGGGAGCAAACAGG